Molecule: long non-coding RNA, 3271 nt
Organism: Phacochoerus africanus (Common warthog)
Lineage: Eukaryota; Metazoa; Chordata; Mammalia; Artiodactyla; Suidae
Exons: 9
Source: RefSeq, a predicted model, not a curated record
CAGAUUCGUUUCCACUGUGCCACAACAGGAACUCCCUGGUGUUUGUAGUAUUAUGUGCAUUCACCUAACAACACAAAAUACUUUAAACAAAGCAAUCAUAUAUUAAAAUAAAUUCAUUAAAAUGUUAUUUUAAAAUUAAAUUUUAAAUAAAUAACCCUAUUUUUGAGAUUCUAAAAUUGCACUGUGGAAAUUUUGAAAAAUGCAGGAAAUAAAAAUCACCACAACCAUCCCACUCAGAAAUAAUGUUUCAAGCAUUUUCUUGCCAUUUCUUUAAUGCACGCUCAUAAAUCUACAUAGAAAUGCAUGGGCAAAAUUGGAUCAGGCUGGUUAUAUGGUUUUCUACAUUGCUUUUUUCUUCUAACACGAAGAUGUACGCUUUUCCCCCCUGUAUUGUUAAAUAGCUUUCAAAAUCAUGAUUCUUAAUGGUUGUAUAAUUUCAUCAAAUGGAUGGAGGAUGAUUUAUUUAAACACUUCUUGGCUGCUAGAAAUUUAGGUUGAAUUGCAGUAACUUUUCAAUGAGAAAAAAAAAAAAACGAUGCUAGUUAUUUAUGAGGCAACAAUGAUUUCUCUCCCUGCAUGGGCAGCCAGCAAUAAAAGUCAGCCGCACAAUCUGGUAUGUGAUGAAAGGUCCAGAAAUGGCCAGGAGAUGGAUGGCGAAAUUGUGAGAGAUGAAGUGAGUUAUUAGUGUUUAUUAUUUAUAUGGUACAGUAAAUAUAUACAGCUCAGGACCGAGCAUUCACUUGUCAGCAACUUGCAGCCAGUCAACGGUCCCUCAGAGCCUGGGCAUGCCUAAAUCUACAAAUCAAGGCAGACCAUUAGGGGACAUGGUGAGUCAGCCAUUCCUGAUGGAGGGGCUCCUACUGGACCAUCUCAGUGCAAGUAUGUUUCCUUUGCCUGGGAUGACUUUCAUUUCCAAGGAAAACACCUACAGUCUCCUGACAACUUGAGAGGGAGAAGAAGAGGGAGAGGCAGGGUGUAUGGGAGGAGGAAGGAUGGAAUAUUUCCUUUGUAUUUUCCACAGUUUUGCCUCCUGGGAUAGCAGCUCUCCAUGGGCACACCCCCACCCUUACUUAUUAAUCCAAGAGUCCUAACAAAUGAGAAAGGCUCUCGGCUCAUAUACACAAGGUAGAGAUUAUUAUCUCCAAUUUACAGGUAAAGAAAUAAAGUCAAAGCAAGGUGCAGUGAUUCAAGAUUUCUCUUUGCAAAUGACACACUCAAACUCAAUGACUAAAACUCAAGACCACAAGUUCUAUGUCUACAGAGGCACUGGAUGUCCCUGGAUGUCCUUCGGGGAGCUCUAUCCAGAUCCCUGGUUUCACCUUUUCCAGCUCCUUAGGCUUAGUUCAGAUGUUUGUGAUCUUCAGCACUUUAUGAAUUCUGCAGCAGAUGGGCGAGGGCCAGGUAGCGGGCGAGAACAGACUGCAUAAGGCAGGCUGGCACUCUGACAAGGGCAGCCCCAGCUGUGGUUCGGGUGUUAUUCAGCACGGCCACCCACUGCACCAGCAGCCUGCCUUCCCGAGCUCACGGCCACGGCCGCCUUAAUGAAGAGUGGAGAUGAGAAAACUGAAGACAAAGAAUACAAAUGAUGUGUCCCAGAUUGCAGGCAGUAAGGGCGGUCUGAAACUGAACCCGCAAGAGCUCGGAGGUGAAUGCCUGCCGUAUAAUUGCUUCAAAAUGUCUUUGUUCAGCUGGAAAACGAAGGUCCAAUAAGGAACGACCAUCGAUGGAACCAGCCCUAGAACUGGAGUUGGCUGAUUGCUGCCGGAGCCCCUCGCUCUAUAAGGGGACCAGUGUGUCCCCAGCUUAAGGGUCCCACCAGAUAGCAAGUGAACUUUCUUGAUCUUGCUUGUGCAUGUUUUACAAAUGUUCUCCCAUCUGUAGGGCCUUGACACGACAUGUCCUGUUGAACCUUCUCACCAAUACCCUUUCCCACCGCCCAUCUCCUCCAAUGGCUCCUUCACAUCUCAGAUCAGGUGUCAUUGGCUGUCUUCCCUGGAUGCGCGUUUUGGCUGUUAUCAUGGCUAUGACCACAUGAUUAACGUGUGCAAUCCCACUCCCAUCCCCAAACUGUAAGCUCCAUGAGGACAGGGAGUGGGUGUCCUUUUUUUGCUCAGCCUUCCAUUCACAGCACUUAAUAGACACUCAAGAAAUAGUUAUGAAUAAAUGAGUAGUUGAAUGAAUAAAUGAACAGGCUUUAUGGACCAGCACCUGCUUCCUCACCAUCCAAAGAUCAGCUGGUUGGAGGCAGAGGGAGGGCUGGAAACUCAAGAGGGAAGGGCUGUUUGGAAAUUCUGGGCCUUUGAAAUGACAGCUUUUUAUUAAUGAACGUGUUCUGUGACUGUUUCCCUUCCUUUUCCUCACCACCCCCGACCUCCACCCCUUUGUCCUGUAACUGGAGGCCCUACCCUUCCUCUCGCACUGACAGAAUGGAGUCUUCCUUAUGCCGAUGAAUGAAGUAACACUUAAUAAGAAGCAAGCAGGCCAGAAAGAGUCAAAUGAGAAAGUUGGCAGCUCUGACUUCCAGGGACACCUGCAGCCAUGCAGAGAAGUUGUAGAUCUCCCUCCAGCUGGUGGUCACGGAGAGGAAGGACUCUGUGCUGGUCAGAGAAGAGACUUGGUGGAGCAGGUACACCAUUCAUCUGCAAGGAAGGAAAAGAAUGAAGAUGUAAUCAAUAAUAUUCCUACAGAGCUCCAAGUCCACCAAGUUCUCCUAGUGUGGAAGGCAGUAAUUUGUUCCCUGAUAUAUGGGGAUUGCUUUUCUUCAGUAGCCGAGACCCAAUCAGUCUUCAGAGGUGGUUGUAAUUAAUAGGGAGUUCCAGCUGAGAUGGAUCCUUCGGCCUGCAGCCUUAGAAUGAAAAUCACAGCCUUGUGUCUGAUUUAUGCCAAAUGGUAUUUCCUUGCUCGACUCCUAGUGCCUGGGAGUGUCGUUAAAGAAUCGCAGAGCGAAGUAAGGACCAGAUAAAGGGAAGGCAUCCCCUCGCCUGCACAUCAACACCAUUAAACGCGUUGUUACAACAACGACCGGAGCUGUCUGAUGAUAUCAUCGGUGGCAACUGUGGCCAUAGGAAACCAAUACUGAUUUCAUGCAACCUGAAGAAAAGACUGGCAUCCUCCUGCAUUUGAGGACUUCUGAUCAAUAUUGAAUAUAAAUUUGUUCACAAAUAAUUUUUCACUGCUAAUGACAAAAGAAAUAUAUCUGAAUGAGUUUUAAACAAUUUUGAAACAAAUGGGCAGAAGAUCUAAACAGACAGUUCUCCAAAGAAGACAUACA